UAGAGUGACCAACCAUUGUGGUUUGCCUGGGACUGAGGGCUUUCCCGGGACAUAGAACUUGCAGUUGUAAAACCAGAACCAGUUGGCUAUCCUG
Molecule: microRNA precursor, 94 nt
Filed under: Loxodonta africana (African savanna elephant)
Lineage: Eukaryota; Metazoa; Chordata; Mammalia; Proboscidea; Elephantidae
Description: miRNA (ENSLAFG00000023793.1)
Source: RNAcentral